UUGGAGGGCAAGUCUGGUGCCAGCAGCCGCGGUAAUUCCAGCUCCAAUAGCGUAUACUAAAGUUGUUGCAGUUAAAAAGCUCGUAGUUGAAUUUCGGGUUAGUAAGUUGGUCAUGCCUCCGGUAUGUACUGGCUUUACUGAAUCCUCCUUCUUGAUGAACUGUAAUGUCAUUAAUUUGGUGUUGCAGGGAAUCAGGACUGUUACUUUGAAAAAAUUAGAGUGUUUAAAGCAGGCAUACGCUUGAAUACAUUAGCAUGGAAUAAUGAAAUAGGACGUUUGAUCCUAUUUUGUUGGUUUCUAGGAUUGACGUAAUGAUUAAUAGGGAUAGUUGGGGGCAUUAGUAUUCAAUUGUCAGAGGUGAAAUUCUUGGAUUUAUUGAAGACUAACUACUGCGAAAGCAUUUGCCAAGGAUGUUUUCAUUAAUCAAGAACGAAAGUUAGGGGAUCGAAGACGAUCAGAUACCGUCGUAGUCUUAACCAUAAACUAUGCCGACUAGGGAUCGGAUGAUGUUAUUUUUAAUGAAUCAUUCGGCACCUUACGGGAAAC
RNAcentral lists this ribosomal RNA (546 nucleotides) under uncultured Glomus. RNAcentral describes it as "SSU rRNA". It matches the Rfam family "Eukaryotic small subunit ribosomal RNA", at positions 548 to 1098 of the family's 1831-position model. Lineage: Eukaryota; Fungi; Glomeromycota; Glomeromycetes; Glomerales; Glomeraceae. The record is from RNAcentral.